RNAcentral lists this ribosomal RNA (650 nucleotides) under uncultured bacterium. RNAcentral describes it as "bacterial SSU rRNA". It matches the Rfam family "Bacterial small subunit ribosomal RNA", at positions 56 to 754 of the family's 1533-position model. The record is from RNAcentral.
UGCAGUCGACGAAGGCUUCGGCCUUAGUGGCGCACGGGUGCGUAACGCGUGGGAAUCUGCCCCUGGGUUCGGAAUAACAGCGAGAAAUUGCUGCUAAUACCGGAUGAUGACGUAAGUCCAAAGAUUUAUCGCCCAGGGAUGAGCCCGCGUAGGAUUAGCUAGUUGGUGGGGUAAAGGCUCACCAAGGCGACGAUCCUUAGCUGGUCUGAGAGGAUGAUCAGCCACACUGGGACUGAGACACGGCCCAGACUCCUACGGGAGGCAGCAGUGGGGAAUAUUGGACAAUGGGCGCAAGCCUGAUCCAGCAAUGCCGCGUGAGUGAUGAAGGCCUUAGGGUUGUAAAGCUCUUUUACCCGGGAUGAUAAUGACAGUACCGGGAGAAUAAGCUCCGGCUAACUCCGUGCCAGCAGCCGCGGUAAUACGGAGGGAGCUAGCGUUAUUCGGAAUUACUGGGCGUAAAGCGCACGUAGGCGGCUUUGUAAGUUAGAGGUGAAAGCCUGGAGCUCAACUCCAGAAUUGCCUUUAAGACUGCAUCGCUUGAAUCCAGGAGAGGUGAGUGGAAUUCCGAGUGUAGAGGUGAAAUUCGUAGAUAUUCGGAAGAACACCAGUGGCGAAGGCGGCUCACUGGACUGGUAUUGACGCUGAGGUGC